CGGACCGAUCGGCGGAUCGUCGCGCGUAAUAAUUUCCGAAUUUUCACAGUGUACGCGCGUGUGUAACAUGUAAUAUUCGUGCGUGUGUGUGUGUGUGUGUGCGUGCGUGUGCGCGUGACGAUCUGGAGCAUCUCGAGCAAUAGCAGUGUUUCAUGGUCUUUAAAGAUCUGCUGGAGUUUGCGGCCACGCGAUAGCUGCCGGUUACCGGGACGCUGUUUCGACGGACGCCGAUGCCGCGCCGGAGGGUCCGGUUCGGGCCGAGCAGAGUCGGCUUCAAGAUCCGCAGCAGAACGCGGCUGACUCUGUCUGCUGUGUAUCGGGUGAG
Long non-coding RNA from Harpegnathos saltator (Jerdon's jumping ant), 325 nucleotides. RefSeq lists it as uncharacterized. The record is from RefSeq and is a predicted model, not a curated record. The transcript has 3 exons. NCBI's taxonomy places the organism in Eukaryota, Metazoa, Arthropoda, Insecta, Hymenoptera, Formicidae.